This 1089-nucleotide ribosomal RNA is filed under the name uncultured Nitrososphaerota archaeon. RNAcentral's name for it is "bacterial SSU rRNA". It matches the Rfam family "Archaeal small subunit ribosomal RNA", at positions 1 to 1061 of the family's 1478-position model. Lineage: Archaea; Thermoproteati; Nitrososphaerota. The record is from RNAcentral.
UCGCCCUUUUCCGGUUGAUCCUGCCGGACCCGACUGCUAUCGGAUUGAGAUUUAGCCAUGCGAGUUGAACGUCCCUUGAUUGCAGGGGGCGUAGCAUACGGCUCAGUAACACGUAGACAACCUGCCCUGGAGACGCGGAUAACCCCGGGAAACUGGGACCAAUCCGUGAUAGGUCGCCCCAUCUGGAAGGAGGGGCGGCCCAAAGGGGAAUUGUGGGCUUCCACUUUUCUCGCUCUAGGAUGGGACUGCGGCCGAUCAGGCUGUUGGCGGGGUAAUGGCCCACCAAACCUGUAACCGGUACGGGCCUUGAGAGAGGUGGCCCGGGGAUGGACACUGAGACAAGGGUCCAGGUCCUACGGGGCGCAGCAGGCGCGAAACCUUCGCAAUGUGCGAAAGCAUGACGAGGUUAAUCCGAGUGGCUUCCGCUGAGGAAGUCUUUUGCCGACUGUAAAAAGGUCGGAGAAUAAGGGGAGGGCAAGUCUGGUGUCAGCCGCCGCGGUAAUACCAGCUCCUCGAGUGGUCGGGGCGAUUAUUGGGCCUAAAGCAUCCGUAGCCGGUUCCGUAGGUCUCCUGCAAAAUCCAGUCGCUCAACGAUUGGCCCGCAGGAGAUACCGCGGGACUAGGAGGCGGGAGAGGUGGACGGUACUCCACGUGUAGGGGUAAAAUCCUUUGAUCCGUGGAAGACCACCAGUGGCGAAGGCGGUCCACCAGAACGCGCUCGACGGUGAGGGAUGAAAGCUGGGGGAGCGAACCGGAUUAGAUACCCGGGUAGUCCCAGCCGUAAACGAUGCUAGCUAGAUGAUCCGAUCGUAAAUCAUGAUCGGAGUGUCGCAGGGAAGCCGUUAAGCUAGCCGCCUGGGGAGUACGGUCGCAAGACUGAAACUUAAAGGAAUUGGCGGGGGAGCACCACAAGGGGUGAAGCCUGCGGUUCAAUUGGAGUCAACGCCAGGAAACUUACCAGGAGAGACAGCAGAUUGAGGGUCAGACUGAAGAUCUUACCUGACGAGCUGAGAGGAGGUGCAUGGCCGUCGCCAGCUCGUGCCGUGAGGCGUCCUGUUAAGUCAGGCAACGAGCGAGACCCAAAGGGCG